AGUGAACGCUGGCGGUAGGCCUAACACAUGCAAGUCGAACGGCAGCACAGUAAGAGCUUGCUCUUACGGGUGGCGAGUGGCGGACGGGUGAGGAAUACAUCGGAAUCUACUUUUUCGUGGGGGAUAACGUAGGGAAACUUACGCUAAUACCGCAUACGACCUACGGGUGAAAGCAUGGGAUCUUCGGACCUUGCGCGAUUGAAUGAGCCGAUGUCGGAUUAGCUAGUUGGCGGGGUAAAGGCCCACCAAGGCGACGAUCCGUAGCUGGUCUGAGAGGAUGAUCAGCCACACUGGAACUGAGACACGGUCCAGACUCCUACGGGAGGCAGCAGUGGGGAAUAUUGGACAAUGGGCGAAAGCCUGAUCCAGCAAUACCGCGUGGGUGAAGAAGGCCUUCGGGUUGUAAAGCCCUUUUGUUGGGAAAGAAAAGCAGCAGGUUAAUACCCCGCUGUUCUGACGGUACCCAAAGAAUAAGCACCGGCUAACUUCGUG
RNAcentral lists this ribosomal RNA (492 nucleotides) under uncultured bacterium. RNAcentral describes it as "partial 16S ribosomal RNA". It matches the Rfam family "Bacterial small subunit ribosomal RNA", at positions 29 to 507 of the family's 1533-position model. The record is from RNAcentral.